CCUUCCCUUAUGGAGUAUUUCCUCUGAACCCAUGUCUCUGGAUCUAGGUGUAGCUUCAGAUUUGAAUAUCCUGAGGCUCUUCCGUUCUGGAUCCUGGCUUCAGUUCUGAGGCUGAGGUUGGUGUUGGCGUACAAAGGAUCUGCAGUGAGCACACAGCUGCACAGAGACUGCUUUAUUCAAAAUGAGUAACAAUCCACAAUACUGAGCUGAAGACAGGAACACAAUGAAAUG
Molecule: long non-coding RNA, 231 nt
Organism: Lagopus leucura (white-tailed ptarmigan)
Lineage: Eukaryota; Metazoa; Chordata; Aves; Galliformes; Phasianidae
Exons: 3
Source: RefSeq, a predicted model, not a curated record